This 334-nucleotide ribosomal RNA is filed under the name uncultured Campylobacter sp. Its description in RNAcentral is "bacterial SSU rRNA". It matches the Rfam family "Bacterial small subunit ribosomal RNA", at positions 65 to 403 of the family's 1533-position model. Lineage: Bacteria; Pseudomonadati; Campylobacterota; Epsilonproteobacteria; Campylobacterales; Campylobacteraceae. The record is from RNAcentral.
AACGAAUAAGAGCUUGCUCUUAUAAGUUAGUGGCGCACGGGUGAGUAAUAUAUAGCUAAUCUGCCUCUUAGUAGAGGAUAACAGUCGGAAACGAUUGCUAAUACUCUAUACUUCUGCUUUACAUAAGUAAAGUAGAGAAAGUUUUUCGCUAAGAGAUGAGGCUAUACUGUAUCAGCUAGUUGGUAAGGUAACGGCUUACCAAGGCUAUGACGCAUAACUGGUCUGAGAGGAUGAUCAGUCACAUUGGAGCUGAGACACGGUCCAAACUCCUACGGGAGGCAGCAGUAGGGAAUAUUGCGCAAUGGGGGAAACCCUGACGCAGCAACGCCGCGUG